Molecule: ribosomal RNA, 474 nt
Filed under: uncultured bacterium
Lineage: Bacteria
Description: partial 16S ribosomal RNA
Rfam family: Bacterial small subunit ribosomal RNA
Source: RNAcentral
UAGGGAAUCUUCCACAAUGGACGAAAGUCUGAUGGAGCAACGCCGCGUGAGUGAUGAAGGGUUUCGGCUCGUAAAACUCUGUUGUUGGAGAAGAACGGGUGUCAGAGUAACUGUUGACAUCGUGACGGUAUCCAACCAGAAAGCCACGGCUAACUACGUGCCAGCAGCCGCGGUAAUACGUAGGUGGCAAGCGUUGUCCGGAUUUAUUGGGCGUAAAGCGAGCGCAGGCGGUUUUUUAGGUCUGAUGUGAAAGCCUUCGGCUUAACCGGAGAAGUGCAUCGGAAACCGGGAGACUUGAGUGCAGAAGAGGACAGUGGAACUCCAUGUGUAGCGGUGAAAUGCGUAGAUAUAUGGAAGAACACCAGUGGCGAAGGCGGCUGUCUGGUCUGCAACUGACGCUGAGGCUCGAAAGCAUGGGUAGCGAACAGGAUUAGAUACCCUGGUAGUCCAUGCCGUAAACGAUGAGUGCUAAGU